This 378-nucleotide long non-coding RNA is filed under the name Glycine max (soybean). RNAcentral's name for it is "long non-coding RNA (GMAX_LNC003201)". The record is from RNAcentral. Lineage: Eukaryota; Viridiplantae; Streptophyta; Magnoliopsida; Fabales; Fabaceae.
UCAAAAGUAAUGAUAACCAUAUCAUAAAACAACAAAUAGUGAAUAGAAAGUAUAUCAAAAGGCGUACAUAGCUGAAUCCCUAAGCUACCCAUAUCAACAAAAAAACAAAAAGAAAAAAGAAGGUAAGACUCCGAGCAGUAAUCUAAAAAACUGCAUGUAUAGCCGCAUGUUGUACCAUAACCCCAAAUCUAUCUAAGUGGAUACCUUGAAAAGGUUCUCCUCGAUCUUCGCAUCCUCAACAGUUGCAAAUGUCGCUCCCUAGUCGAUAGUACGAGCUGGCGAAAGGAACCCGAUCAUAGUUAUAGUGUCAAAAGGAGGGUAUGCAAAGUUUGGAAGCACACUCCUCGGAGAUUACAAACGAAUUAUUCGAUGUUAAGA